Molecule: long non-coding RNA, 240 nt
Filed under: Sorghum bicolor (sorghum)
Lineage: Eukaryota; Viridiplantae; Streptophyta; Magnoliopsida; Poales; Poaceae
Description: long non-coding RNA (SBIC_LNC006214)
Source: RNAcentral
AUUGUUUAUGUUCAAAAUUCUCUUUGGAAAAGAUUUGCAAAAGGAGAUAAAAAGAAAAAAAACCCCAGCCAACCCCCUGGGCCUAAUCCCUUUCCCCGGCCCAGCUCCCCUCUUCCCCCCCUUCUCUUUUCUUCCCCUUGCGCGCGGCCCAACCGGCCCAGCUCCCUGCGCGCAGACUUCCCUCCUCCUCCUUCUCUUUUCGCUGACAAUCGGGCCCCACGUGGCAGCGCCCUUCCCCCC